RNAcentral lists this ribosomal RNA (467 nucleotides) under uncultured bacterium. Its description in RNAcentral is "partial 16S ribosomal RNA". It matches the Rfam family "Bacterial small subunit ribosomal RNA", at positions 28 to 507 of the family's 1533-position model. The record is from RNAcentral.
GACGAACGCUGGCGGCGUGCUUAACACAUGCCAGUCGAACGGAAAGGCUCCAGCUUGCUGGAGUACUCGAGUGGCGAACGGGUGAGUAACACGUGGGUAAUCUGCCCUGCACUCUGGGAUAAGCCUGGGAAACUGGGUCUAAUACUGGAUAUGACCUUUCUCCUUAUGGGGUUUGGUGGAAAGUUUUUCGGUGUAGGAUGAGCCCGCGGCCUAUCAGCUUGUUGGUGGGGUGAUGGCCUACCAAGGCGACGACGGGUAGCCGGCCUGAGAGGGUGAUCGGCCACAUUGGGACUGAGAUACGGCCCAGACUCCUACGGGAGGCAGCAGUGGGGAAUAUUGCACAAUGGGCGGAAGCCUGAUGCAGCGACGCCGCGUGAGGGAUGACGGCCUUCGGGUUGUAAACCUCUUUCAGCAGGGACGAAGCGUAAGUGACGGUACCUGCAGAAGAAGCACCGGCUAACUACGUG